CAGGGACGGAGGUGCCUGUUUACCCGCGCCGGACUCACCGCCGCCGCCGCCGCGGGAUCUGAGUGGGGGCGCGGGCGCGGGAGCUCCCGCCGAGCCACGGUGGUGUUGGCUAGAGUGCAUGCUUUUGGACCCAACCUUGGCUUUUCAAAUGUGGAAUCCUAGGCCUUCACUGGUCCCGAUGUCGUAGGAAUAACGUGAAUAGCUACCCCGUGGAGCUUCCUGUGUGCCAGGUACUGUGUUAAGCGCUUCCCAUGCUACCACCCUGCAGGUUUUCAAGGUAUGGGUCUGGGAGAAGGCAGAUUCCAAGUACUUAACUCCCCAGUCUUCUAACUCACUUGUAGCCCCUCCUUGGGACCUUUCCAGGGAACCAUGGAGUCAGCCUGCUGUUUCUAACAGCGACAGGAACCAUGGAUGUCGCUGCCGAUGGCCACCCCGCUCUCUGCCUGGCCUUCGGGGUCCCACAGAAAGAUGGAAGGAACCUUCCAUAAGGGAGGCCCGAGAACCCUCCCUCCCGCUCUGACUGCUGUGCCAGCACCCCCUACAGAUGGACGUGGCACGUGGAUUCGGGGCGCGGGAGCUGAAUCCACGAUGUAUCAGAUCAUUUGAUAGAAAGCUCUUCCUGAUGUGUAGUUUUUCCUCUAAAGUUUUUCUUCUUUGCUUUUUCUAAAUGCUAAAAGCAACCAAUGCUCAUUUCAAAGCCAAGAUCAGAACUCUUUGCGCCUGGCUUGGAGUUCCAGCUCCAUCAACUUACUAGAUUUGUACCCUGGGAAAAACACGCACCCUCUCUGAGCCUUGAUUUCUUGUUGUGCUGGAGAGAUAAUAAUUUCACCUCGUGACAUUGCUGUGAGGACUGAGGGAGCUCGGUACCUGGAAUGCACUUCCAGAGGUUUGGCAUGGAUUCCUCUACUCAAUGAAUAUUUAUUAAGCACCUACUGAGGGCCAGUCACUGUUCUACUUGCUCUGGAAACACUCAGGAACAAGACAGAGAAGGCCUCUGCUCUCAUGAUGCUCACAUACUAAUCAGAGGAGACACAAAACAACCAGGUCGUUUCAGAAGUUAAGAAAUUAGAACUCACAGGUGGUGUGCAAGUGACAGGAACGGCCCCUUUCGAUUGGACGGCUGAGGAGAUGGCCUCUCUGAGGAGACAUAGCACUUUGUGACCUCUAGGUCCCAAGUUUCCCAAGACAUCCUGCUUUUAACAAUCCGUCUCCCAAGCAGAGGUCCCAGUUUCGAGUUUGGAGAAUCUGACUGAGUAGCCAUCAGUUCCCUUUUGAGUGGUCGUUGUUCACUAGCCGGCCCCCCAGCAGAGGCUGAGCUCCUGGGCCUGGAGAGCGCUCGCCGGGAGCCGUCGUUGAGUGGGGGGCCUUCGGGGUAGGAGGCGGUGAUUAGUUUCUAGCCAGAGCCCAUUUUGCUCCACGACUGCGUUGAGCUUUCUGGUUCCUAUGUCCGGAGCUGGAUGUUAAUUUCUCUUCUGGCGAGACUGUGGCCCUCUGCAGCCUCCUGAUUCUCUGCACAGUUCUUUAAGAGCUUGUUGAGGCCCGGCCAGAGCACUCCCAGUGCCUUCGUUGCCCAUUGAACCACAGAGCAGUCAGGCGACACCUGAUGCCAAGCGCAUCGCCCCUGCGAGGUACAGUAUGGACUUUAAAUGCCUUGCUGCAUCUGGCGACAGUGACCCAAACCGAUGAGCGAGGGAAGCCAGCGAGCAGAAGGGCGGGCUGCCUCUGACUCACCUGUCAUGUUCACAGCUGACCUACUUUGGUUUGACCUUGAUUUGCUCAGUGCAAUUAAAGACACUGUCGGGAAUGCACUUCUGCUGCCUGACUUAAGUCCAACAUGUGACAGCCCAGGAUCUCAUACACACACAUGACCCAGGCAGAUGGACGGACGGACAGGCAGUUAGGUUUCCACUUACCUCUGAAUUGUAAUUCGAUCACAAGGAAAGGGCUUAAUUUCAAGAACACGGAGCAAUUAUUUGAGGCUGGAUACGAUGCCAAGGCAGCAGGCUUUGAUUCUUUGCUACAGGGCAGCUUAAUCAGGAAAUGGCCUAGAUGGCCGCCUUUCAAGUAGGUCCUUGCAGUAGCCUGGCAACUGGCACGGGGUCGUAAUGGGAGAAUUUGGCUCUGCAUGUCUGUGGGUGUUUACAGGGCACUGCGGGGCACGGCUUCUUUUAUUUAUAGAAUGUUGUGAGCAACAAGCAGCAGAAGGCUGAAAAGCCACUCAAUCUCGAUUUAUUUUUAACAAAUUCCAUUUUUCCCCUCAUCCCAGAAAGAGAACUGAGUUAUUAAAAAACAGUAAAAAAUACAUCAUCGCAGAGCGUGCCAUAUCUAAUUAUGGGGUUGCCAGCAUCGGCCUGCAGCCACAUUUUAAGGGCUUUGUAAAUCAACCAUCCAUUCAAUCUGUGAACUUAUAUGACUCCUAUUCUUCAUUUAGAUGUAGAGCGAAAUUAUUGGCAAGUGAGAGCUGAUCAGAAAAAGUCCCACACUGUCUAAAUUAAGAGAUGAAAGGUAUAAAUAUAGAAUAUUGUACUUAUGUUCUCAAAGGGAGAUAAUAUCCCCCUUUGUUGUCCAUUAAACUUGGCCAUACAGCGUCCAUCCCAGACCACUGACUGUCCGCUUUGGGGUUUCUCACUCAUCACAGUGGUGGAUCUUAGCUGCUCGGAGGAGCUGUGUUGUCAUAUCUCGCUGAGCCCACCCUGAGGCUGUUUCCCACGUAGUCAUGAGAAGACAGCAGUGUGCUGCUGUGGGGCCUGUGUGCUCGUAGCGCGUUAGAGCUGGAGGAGUCUUCAGAGACCCUCUAGUUCAAGUACAUCUUACUAGAGAUGGGGAAGUGAGGCCUAGAGAGGAGGGACUUGCCCAGGGCCCCAUAGCAAGUGAUGACAGAGCUGGCCUGUGGCCACGGGCUCUGCGCUUUUCUCUGACAGCGCCCUGCUGUGCCAAGCUCUGAGCAGUGAAUUCAACAGAUCUGAUUUCUGCCCUUCAGGGUUCACAAUCUCAGACAGACAGACAUCAAGACAGUUGAAUAAUCCCCAUAUGCCUGAGUAGACCAAGGUUUGUGUGGGCAGCAAACCAGCUAGUUGAGUGGGGGCGAGAGGGAAGGCAGGGAAGCUUGGAAGCUGUGUAUUUUGAAACCAAGGCCCAGGUAAAAUCGGUUGCUCUCUGACCCGCUUGGGAAGGGCUUUACAGACGCUGGCAAGUUUCUAAUGGAAAAAGGUGCCACACGCUUGCCGAGUGUUGGGGGAGGGAAGGUAUUGUGCCAUGGUGGGUGCCAGUGGAGAUAAAUAUUGCAGCCUUGGGAGGAGCCCUGGGAAUGGAUCAUUGAGGAGGUUUCAUGGGAAUACCAAAGGGAGUGAAGGGCUGGGGCGCGGCGCAGGCCAGGGCUGUGUGGUCCUGAGUCCCGUGGAGUGCUCCACCCUCUCCUGGGAUGGUGUGUGGGCGGCAUGAGUGCUGCCCUUCCCGUCCUCUGGCCCCCAGGUAGAAAAGCAAUACCUGGUCAUGUGGUCUUUCUUCUAACCCUCAGAAUCUUCUUUGCACAGUAGUCUGGGCAGCCAGUAUCAAUGGACUAGAGCCGACAUGUGAGCUGGGACCUGUCUCUUUCUUGCCCUGGGCUAAUGCCUGGCGCUGUGCCUGGGCCAGAGUGGGCUCUGGGUGUUAGUUCUCUUUCUGAGGCUGGGAGCGGGCAGAGAGACCCAGGGAAAACUUUAUGGGGAAGGAUGGACUGUGCAAGCUUCUGGGGAAGUCAACUCUUGGCAAUGCUAGAAGGCAAGGGUUUUAGAAGACGUGAGUAGGCCAGGAGGGGGUGACCCAGGCCUAAAUUAAGGCCAUAGCAGUCAGCACAGAGUGGCCAAGAGGGAGAGGAGCGGUUACAGAGCAGGAAGAAGCAGUGGGAGUUAGCUACAGACAGCUGACCGGAGGGUGAAGGACAGUGAUGUUCUGGGCCGUGAACCUACAGCUGCCAAGGAGGCUCAUGGGGAGGGAGGGAUCAGGGCCGUGGCAGAUGCAGCAGCCUGGGAGCCCGCGUUGCUCAGGCUGGGGUCUUCGGAUUAUCGAGUACAUUCUCUCUGAGAAGAGAUGGUCCGUCUUCCUGCCCAGUGAGUUCCUGGCCACCCUGGACAGUGGUUCUCAAACAUGUUGCCAGGUGGCAAAGAAUGAAGUCAGUACAUAGCAUGUUCUCAGCAUCACCUCCAUAAAUUUUUUUUCUCAAUCUUUUGAUACCUACUGCUACUUACCUGCUUUUGAGUUCUGCGAGUUGAGACAUGUAAAUUAGCAGUAAUAAUUGCACAGGAAAUAGGUGAUGAGCUUAAGUUUGAGAAUUUUGUAUUUUUUCUUGGAUUUGUAUUGUAGUUUUAAUAUAGUCUAAGAAUGUUUUUAUUGAUAAAAUAGUUUCUAGUGUUAAAACGCUUUUUCAUUUUUAUAGUUUCUAAAGGCACUGAUUUUUCAUGAUGGGGGCACCUCCUGGGUCUCCACCUCUGAACCAGUUUUCAGGGAGCAGAUUCUCCUCUUUCUCUCACUUGUUUUCCUACCCCUGGCCCUUGCCCUGUGUCCCAGCCUCUUUUCCUGUGUGUGGCUCAGCCCAGGAGACCAGUGAACCCAGGUGAGGGGUGUGUGUCAGUAACUGGUUCGGUGGUAAAGAACAUUAAAAGCCUCACCUGAGAGGAGGUUGGGAAGUUGCCUGUGAGCUGGGAUGACCCGCAGACUUCCUGUCCCAGGCACUGCCCGGGGAGACAGCCGACCUGGCCACUUCAUAUUGCGUGCCCCCAGAUGACAGUGGCAUUAGUAAUUGAUGCUGUUUUAAAUUCUCCAGAGUAAGAAAAUGGUGUUGUUUGGUUACCACGGCCCUGUCAUCUCACACUUUCACUGAAUUACUGUGCCAGGCACCCAGUGGGCGUUCAAGAAAUGCUUUUGGUUCAUUGAGCUGUUGCUGGCCACAGCCACCUCUGCCACCACCACCAUACGGUGUUCUGAGAGCAUUAAGUGAAAGUCCUGAAGGUUGUGUAUGUUAAGUCUGGUCCAGAGUCCAUCCUGCUGCCUCUGGGCAGGUCAGCCGCACCCCGGCUAUCAGCACUUGUUGGCUCUUAUCAGAGAGACAGAGUGGUCCAGGGGGCAGGGGCAUGAGGCGUCACUUUCUCUGGCCACUGUGCUGCAGGAAAAUCCCAUCUGUACUCGUGAAGACAGGCAGGUCCCUGGCCCCCUCGGGCACCACACCCCAGGCAUCCUGCUUCCCCUUUACGGACAUGUAUGCCUGGUAGGAAAUCCUUUAUUCGAAUCCAAACCUGCUUCGUGGCGCUGUUUCCCCAGUGACCAGUUCUACCCUUGGUAGCCACGCAGAACAAAGGUGGGUGGGCGAGGCGGGAUUCACUUUCCAGGUCUGGAAGCCAUGCUCACGGGCCCCCUCCCUCCCUUUCCCCACCGGCUCAUCUCCUCCAGUGCCUUCAACCAUCCUUUCCAUGGUAUGGCUGUCGGUAUUAGUGUUCACAAGAGGUGGACGUGAAUCAAGCAUUUACCGUGUGCCAGGCACUGUGCCCAGCUCCCUACAUGCACUGUCUCGUUGACUUCUUGCAGCCGCCCUGUGAGGUGGGUAUUGCCAGCGUCCUCCUUGUACCAGUGAGGAGACUGAGGACACACGCCCAGUCUCGUCCGGAGUCGCACAUGGAGUGGCCCAGGGGAGGUUUGGAGCCCGCCGUCCGGCCCUGAGCCUUGCCUCCUGGCUGCGGGGCUGUCACAGCUCAGGGCCUCAGUGCCUAAAGCAAGCCCGUGGCACACUAGACCGGGGCUGGCCCCACCUUCACUUGUUUUGCAAGAAAUCCUGAGUUGAACCGUGUUCUCUGAAGCCUCCUCAGUUGGUUUUGACAGAGCAGACUGCCGGUCUGGCCUUGCACCGGCGCCCACACACGGGCUCGUCCCAGCUCUGCCGGGCCGGCAGGCCUUGUGGAGCCUUGGGUUUGGGUCAGGGUGACAGAGGUGGCUGUUAGUCUUUUCCUUUCCUGACCACGAAGUCUGAUGCAGUAGGUUUCUUGUCAAAGGCUUCGUCGUGGCUUUGUGGCCAGCAGGCAGAGGGAGGAAGGUGCCUGGGAACUGCAAGGCGGACACCUCUUCAAGUGCCUACGCCGUAUUUGGUCCACAGCACAGCCCCAGCGCCCACAG
Long non-coding RNA from Equus asinus (donkey), 6141 nucleotides. Lineage: Eukaryota; Metazoa; Chordata; Mammalia; Perissodactyla; Equidae. The record is from Ensembl.